This 468-nucleotide ribosomal RNA is filed under the name uncultured bacterium. Its description in RNAcentral is "partial 16S ribosomal RNA". It matches the Rfam family "Bacterial small subunit ribosomal RNA", at positions 28 to 507 of the family's 1533-position model. The record is from RNAcentral.
GACGAACGCUGGCGGCGUGCUUAACACAUGCAAGUCGAACGGAAAGGCCCUGCUUUGUUGGGGUUCUCGAGUUGCGAACGGGUGACUAACACGUGAGUAACCUGCCCUUGACUUUAGGAUAACUUCAGAAAACUGGGUCUAAUCCCGGAUAGGAGCUCCUGCUGCAUGGUGGGGGUUGGAAAGUUUCGGCGGUUGGGGAUGGACUCGCGGCUUAUCAGCUUGUUGGUGGGGUAGUGGCUUACCAAGGCUUGGACGGGUAGCCUGCCUGAGAGGGUAACCGGCCACAUUGGGACUGAGAUAAGGCACAGCCUACUACGGGAGGCAGCAGUGGGGAAUAUUGCACAAUGGGAGGAAGCCUGAUGCAGCAAAGCAGCGUGCGGGAUGACGGCAUUCGGGUUGUAAACCGCUUUCGCUUGUGACGAAGCGUGAGUGACGGUAAUGGGUAAAGAAGCACCGGCUAACUACGUG